This 119-nucleotide ribosomal RNA is filed under the name Triticum dicoccoides. The record is from RNAcentral. Lineage: Eukaryota; Viridiplantae; Streptophyta; Magnoliopsida; Poales; Poaceae.
GGAUCCGAUCAUACCAGCACUAAAGCAUCGGAUCCCAUCAGAACUCCGAUGUUAGGCGUGCUUGGGUGAGAGUAGUACUAGGAUGGGUGACCUCCUUGGAAGUCCUCGUGUUGCAUUCC